AGAAAGAGCGCGAAUAUUCCUGCCCUGCUGAAGAAGACGGAGACUCUUUUCCUCUCAGCGCCAAAUCAGUGUGUUUAGUUAUUAAAUGAUGUCUUCAGCACACACUGCUGUCAAGACUGAGUUUAUAAAAGAGGAGAGUGAAGAAGUGCGGAUUCCUGAGCCGUGUGGAGAUGAAGAAGAAGAAGCCUCAACCCUGAAGAAGGAAGAGCCGGAGGAACACACAGACCAGAUCAAGAUGAAGGACGAAACUCAGGUCAAAGAUGAGCAAAGUGAGAUCGGGGUGAAGGAGCAAGCUAAAGAACAGAAUGAGGACGAGGACUACGAGCAGCCUCAGUAUUUAAGCUGCUCGAGAAUCGGCACCAGCUUUACUCAGAAAAGAGCUCGACGAGGAAAAGGCUUUUUCUUCUCCUGCCUCGAGUGCCAGAUGAGCUUCGAGUCUAAGGAGCACCUGAUGGAGCACUUCAGGGUCCACACUGGAGAAAGCUCCACGCAAAAACAGCCGAUGUUCUGCCAUCAGUGCUUCAGGAAGUUCUCCUGUAGGAAACAUCUGCUGGAGCACUACAGAAUACACAAGGUGGAGAAGCCGUUCUCCUGUGAGCAAUGCGGGAAGAGCUUCGCUUAUAAACAAAGCCUGAACAAUCACACCAAG
This 649-nucleotide long non-coding RNA is filed under the name Danio rerio (zebrafish). Its description in RNAcentral is "si:ch73-40a17.7 (ENSDARG00000097884.3)". Lineage: Eukaryota; Metazoa; Chordata; Actinopteri; Cypriniformes; Danionidae. The record is from RNAcentral.